This 1485-nucleotide long non-coding RNA is filed under the name Oryctolagus cuniculus (rabbit). RNAcentral's name for it is "lncRNA (ENSOCUG00000030637.1)". The record is from RNAcentral. Lineage: Eukaryota; Metazoa; Chordata; Mammalia; Lagomorpha; Leporidae.
CAGGAGACGGGCAGCAGCGGGUUGGCCAGGGAAGGCCAGGGUUCUCCCAGCAACAGUCUCCUGGGGAGGGCUCGCAGGGCAUGGGGGGAGGUGUGCUGGGGGUGGAGGCUGUGACCCUUGUAGCAGGGCAAGUGACCUCGCGGCUCGGUGACUUAGGGGACACAGCGGGGCUCAGCAGGAUGACAGGGCUGUGGCUGUGAGUCCAGGGGGCGGGGGCAGGACCCUGACUCUCAGCAGCCAAGGGGGCAAAGAGCAGUCAGGGUAUGCUUCAGACAGUAUGGGCUCCCUUGGGGCAGCCUCUCUCCGGUCAGCGUCGCAGCUGCUCCUGGCGCUGGCAGCCUGCAGGGAAAGCCGAGGGCAAACUGGGCCGUAGCGCCCGGCUCCUCUCCCCCUGCACCUGGGAUCCCCAGGAGCAGAUGCCCCUCUUCUGCCCAGGCCUAGGCACCAAGACACGGACCAAGGCCUGGUGGUGGCCUUGAAAGCAGAGGGGCUGCACACUGGACUCUACUUCAUUUUCUUGGGCUCCAAGGACUCAAACCAGGGUGCGCCAUCGAAUUUCCUUCUGCCUUUGUUGCACUGGUCCAGGGCCUUCGGCAGCAGGGGUCUGGGCGCUCCAGGGCCCCCGCACACUGGUACAAGCUCUCGGGCCGCGGUGAAAGAAACAUCCUGGCUGCGGACCCACGCGGGGAGCCGAGCCUGGCACGGUCAGCGAGGCCGGCAGCUCCUUCGUGCGUGGUAAAGGCUGACCCCCUGGAGGGACGCGGCGCGCAGCCUUCUCGGGAGAAUCCCGCAUGCCCAGGGCGCCUUCACCCUGCGGAUCCGGGCGUAGUCGCGGCGGGGCAGAGUGAUGGGGAGAAGUCAUGCAGACCCAAUGGUUCUCCUGCACGAGGGAAACUUUGCAGGGCUCCGGGUUCUGACUGCGGCUGGCGGGCCUGGAGGCGGGGAGCGAUGCUCUUCGGGGUGGCAGCGCGGCCUGGGGCUUGCCCCGGUUUGUGAUAAGUUGGAGACCCACGAGGUCUGGGCGAUAGAGCGGUGCGUCGAACGCGGGAUUCAGCUUCCAGCGUUUGUCGAAGGCUGCGAACAUGGCCAGGUGCCAACUUCGAAGGGCUCCAGUGACCGUUGGCUUCAUAGCGCGAGGAAAGCACCCGGACCGCGGGGGCUCGGGACCCGCUGGCCACAGGAUCCCGCGCGGGCAAGGCCAAUGCUCCGCGGACACCCGGACAUCAGAGGACGCAGCGGCUGCCCCGAGGAAAUGGCACGAGCCCUCAGGAUUCAUGUUUCUGUGUCAGUGAAGUUGGUUGCCUACCGCCUCUCCUACCAUUGUCAACCACCCAACAUGCUAUGUUUAGCUUGUGUGCUCUGAACACGCGUGCCAGUCCUCGCCUUCGACAAACCGGUCAUCUUGGAGGGAGGCACAUUUUCUAUUAGUAGCUGAAAGGUUCUAACUUCAGAAAUAAAGUGUGCAGGGGCUGCUGGGUACUUGCA